UAAACUGUGCCUGUGUAAUCAAGUUCUGUU
Molecule: non-coding RNA, 30 nt
Filed under: Mus musculus (house mouse)
Lineage: Eukaryota; Metazoa; Chordata; Mammalia; Rodentia; Muridae
Source: RNAcentral